CCUACGGGUGGCAGCAGUGAGGAAUAUUGGACAAUGGGCGCAAGCCUGAACCAGCCAAGUAGCGUGAAGGAUGACUGCCCUACGUAUGGAAAACUUCUUUUGUAAAGAAAUAAAGUGAGGCACGUGUGCCUUUUUGUAUGUACUUUAUGAAUAAAGAUCGGCUAACACCGUGCCAGCAGCAGCGGUAAUACGGAGGAUCCGAGCGUUAUCCGGAUUUAUUGGGUUUAAAGGGAGCGUAGAGGGUUUGUCAAGUCAGUUGUGAAAGUUGGCCGCUAAACCGUAAAAUUGCAAUUGAUACUGGCAGGCUUGAGUACAGUUGAGGUAGGCGGAAUUCGUGGUGUAGCGGUGAAAUGCUUAGAUAUCACGAAGAACUCCGAUUGCGAAGGCAGCCUACUAAACUGCAACUGACAUUGAUGCUCGAAAGUGUGGGUAUCAAACAGGAUUAGAUACCCGAGUAGUC
Molecule: ribosomal RNA, 460 nt
Filed under: uncultured bacterium
Lineage: Bacteria
Description: partial 16S ribosomal RNA
Rfam family: Bacterial small subunit ribosomal RNA
Source: RNAcentral